Molecule: long non-coding RNA, 573 nt
Filed under: Homo sapiens (human)
Lineage: Eukaryota; Metazoa; Chordata; Mammalia; Primates; Hominidae
Description: LHRI_LNC1387.1
Source: RNAcentral
GGGAGCUCAUGGUAUGUGGUCGGUUUGGCCCAGUGCUGCCAAGAGUUGGCAACACCAGCUCAGUUCAGCCGGUGUUUUGCAAACAAACAUCACUUUGGAGAUACAGACAUGAGCUGCCCACUGCAGCCAGGUGGGCUGGGCACAGCCAACCCCUUCAAGGGCCAGGGCUGGCCUCCCAAGCCAAGGUUUUCCCUUACCAGUGAGGCAGGCUCUGCACUUACACUGCGGGAGCAGGGAUGCGGGGCUGGCUUGUGGAAGGUAGGUUAGGCAUCGAGUGGCUACACAUACAGGAGAGUGGAAACAUAAAACUGUACAAAGUCACACUUGGCACACAGUUGAUAUAGUCACAGCUGGAGCUACUAGGGCUUUCUAAGGGCACACUCAGCAGUUCUUACCAAUGAUGUUUUCUUGCCCAGUUGUGAAUAAGCCAUAGGUAGAAGCUCCUGGAGGCUUCUGGUUGAUUGUCUUGCAGGGCUGUCCUACUAGAACUGGGAUCCUAGACCUAACACUGCAAAUAACAGUUCUGUUUCUAACAUCUAACACCAUGCUACUAAUUUACCCUGGACUCCGGCC